Non-coding RNA from Coffea arabica (coffee), 3235 nucleotides. The record is from RefSeq and is a predicted model, not a curated record. NCBI's taxonomy places the organism in Eukaryota, Viridiplantae, Streptophyta, Magnoliopsida, Gentianales, Rubiaceae.
AAGAAAUGGUUUCAAAGAAAUACUGCAACUGUAAAAGUAAAUAUUAGCUCCAGCAACAAUUUGCAUACAAUUAUUGCAAGAAAUGAUUCUGCAGUACCUACGAGUAGUAAAAGUAAGUUUGACAGAAAAUUUGAGAAAAUAAAAAGGAAAGAAGAACGUGGUGGUGAUUAGUGAUGCUGAUUAAGCAUGUGGGCAUGACUUGUCCCUGCUGAUUUACCUCCAGCGAUGCAACGCUUAAAUUUAUGUUUGAGAAAGAGGCUGAAUCUACCCGAUCCAAUAGCCACCAAUAAACUCUAAGCUGAUACUAGAAAGCAACAUGGAGAAAGAAAGAUGCUGAUACGACCUUUUCUAUCCAGACUUCUGGGGCUCUAUUCAAUUUCAGACGACUGCAUUUUUUUUUCCUGGGGAAACUGUGCUGGACUAGAAAGGCUGCUCUACUUGUCAUGCCCCCAAAAAUCAGGAACUUAAUUAUGUGGUGAAGGAUUUUGUCUAAUACCUACUAAGUUGUGAAGCAUGGCUAUGGCUGCUACAGUUAAAGUGGUUCUUGGCUCCGUUGCCUUCGCUAUUUUUUGGGUUCUGGCGGUUUUCCCGGCUGUUCCCUUUCUUCCUAUUGGUAGGACUGCAGGGUCUCUUCUUGGGGCUAUGCUUAUGGUCAUCUUCCGAGUUAUAACUCCCGAUCAAGCCUAUGCUGCUAUUGAUCUUCCAAUUCUUGGUCUUCUAUUUGGUACAAUGGUAGUCAGCGUCUAUCUUGAAAGAGCAGACAUGUUUAAGUACUUGGGCAAGUUGCUUUCAUGGAAAAGUAUGGGAGCCAAGGACUUACUCUGUCGAAUCUGUUUGAUAUCUGCAAUUUCAAGUGCCCUUUUCACUAAUGACACAUCUUGUGUGGUUUUAACCGAAUUUGUACUGAAAAUUGCAAGACAACACAAUCUUCCACCUCAUCCAUUUCUGUUAGCCCUAGCCUCCAGUGCAAAUAUUGGCUCUUCAGCAACUCCAAUUGGGAAUCCUCAAAACUUAGUUAUAGCAGUCCAGAGUGGAAUUCAGUUUGGGGAUUUUGUAAUUGGAAUACUCCCUGCAAUGCUUGUGGGAGUUGUUUUAAAUGCUGUAAUCCUUCUUUGUAUGUAUUGGAGAUUGUUGUCGGUCGACAAGGACGCAGAAGACCCUGCAUUGGAGGUGGUUGCCGAAGAAGAUGUGAGUUCCCACCGUUUUUCGCCAGCAACUAUGUCACAUCCUACGUCCUUGAAUUCUCAGGAAUGGAACUCGACAUUGGAAUCAAUGAACAUUAGUAGCUCACCUAAUAUCAAUGGUCAUAGGAAUCAUAUUGAGACCCUUAGAAGCAGGGCAAAUGCAAGUGAGAGCGAAAUCCAAAAAGCCCCAAGUGAGGAGUCUAAUCCUGCAGGGAACUCAAGUCCUCCAAAAGAGCUUGAAAUUGAAACAUUUGCACAUACAAGGGAGGAAACUGUCCCUUCAAAAUGGGUGCCACCCCUGAAUGGAUUUCAAAAUGGGGACUACAGCACAACCAGUGAAGGGAAGGAGAAAUGGAAAAGAGUACUGUGGAAGACUUGUGUUUAUCUCGUUACAUUUGGAAUGCUAAUAUCUUUGUUACUGGGUCUGAACAUGUCAUGGACAGCAAUAACAGCAGCACUUGCUCUCGUGGUUCUUGAUUUUAAGGAUGCCAGGCCGUGCUUAGAAAAGGUAUCAUACUCGCUCUUGAUAUUCUUUUGUGGAAUGUUUAUCACAGUAGAUGGGUUUAACAAAACAGGAAUCCCCAGCGCACUGUGGGAUCUUAUAGAGCCGCAUGCUCAGAUUAAUCACACUGGUGGAAUAGCAGUUCUUGCUCUUGUGAUACUUAUGCUGUCAAAUUUGGCUUCAAAUGUGCCAACAGUUCUGCUGCUUGGGGGACGCGUGGCGGCUUCAGCUGCUGCAAUAUCUUCUGCUGAGGAGAAGAAAGCAUGGCUCCUUCUAGCUUGGGUAAGCACUGUAGCAGGAAAUCUGUCCCUCUUAGGAUCGGCUGCCAACCUGAUUGUCUGUGAGCAGGCUCGUCGUGCCCAUCAUUUCGGCUACAACCUCUCAUUUUGGAGUCACCUCAAGUUUGGAUUUCCAUCCACUAUUGUCAUCACAGCUAUUGGUUUGACACUGAUCAGGGGAUGAUACCCUAUAAUCACUGUGAUAACCUGACCUGUGUUGUAAAUUUGGAGUCGUUAAAUAAAAGAGGCGUGGAAGAGCCCCAUGUCUCGCACAGUUUGUCUGGGGAGUCAGCUUAAACGGUGACUUAUUUCAGCAAGUUUAUGCCAUUCCUACGCGAAUGCUUUUGUCCUCAAAAAGCUUGAAUAAAGAUUGGUUACCUCGAUCGAGAUAAUCACCAUCCACAAAAAGAAGAGCUUGAACUUCCUCCGAGAUGCUGCAAUGUGACACAAGACAGACGGUGGCAAGACAACGGAAAUACAAGAGUUUAGACUGAAGGUACCCCUUUUUCUUUUUCAAGAUCCUACUUCAAGUUACUGCUGCAUUCGUAAUUGCACAGAAAAAAAUCUUAAGCUUGCUGGAAUUAUGUGCGAGGUGAACUAGAAAGUUUACUAAAAAGCUUAUUAGUUGCAGCUCCAUGAAAAUUUGCCAACUUAGCCCGAUUACAGACUUUAAAAGGGGUGUAUUCUAUUGCCGUUUGCUACCAUCCAAAGAGCCAUCAGCCCUGUUGGCGUACUUGCUUAUGCAGGGAAUCGAGUCCAAAGAGGCAAACACGGUUAAGACACAUACAGAUAGCUAGCAGCUAUUCAGCAAGUAGUAUUAUGUUUUCAGCAGAUAAUAAAAUGUCAGCUUCCCUCGAUGAAAACAUGCCACGUUUUUCGUGAAAGUCUUGGUUGUGGUGGGAAGCUUCUCUCAACAUCAAGCAAUGAGGAGAUUAAAGUGGCAAUGGGAAUUGGGAAUUAGGCAUAAAGACAUGCCAACCAAAGCAUGUUUGGGGGCCUAUGCAGUGGUGGGGAAAAAAUGUUGGGAGGCUUCCAAAAGGUCUUUGUUUCUCUGUAGAUUCAUACAUUCCCCCUGGUACGCUUUGGCCACAUUUCCCAUCCGCCAAAGCUGUACCAUCAUCUUUUGGUUGAUGUUGACUGACGAUUAUACCCCGCUCUUAAUAUGAUAAUUAGUAGAUAAUAGUUGUCCUUUUUUUUUUUUCCUUCCCUCUAAAUCUUAGGAGUUACAACAAUCUUGUAGUAUUCAAGAAGAGUCUCUCAACUUCGUGCCU